GGGUUGUGAGGUUAAGCGACUAAGCGUACACGGUGGAUGCCCUGGCAGUCAGAGGCGAUGAAGGACGUGCUAAUCUGCGAUAAGCGUCGGUAAGGUGAUAUGAACCGUUAUAACCGGCGAUUUCCGAAUGGGGAAACCCAGUGUGUUUCGACACACUAUCAUUAACUGAAUCCAUAGGUUAAUGAGGCGAACCGGGGGAACUGAAACAUCUAAGUACCCCGAGGAAAAGAAAUCAACCGAGAUUCCCCCAGUAGCGGCGAGCGAACGGGGAGCAGCCCAGAGCCUGAAUCAGUGUGUGUGUUAGUGGAAGCGUCUGGAAAGGCGCGCGAUACAGGGUGACAGCCCCGUACACAAAAAUGCACAUGCUGUGAGCUCGAUGAGUAGGGCGGGACACGUGGUAUCCUGUCUGAAUAUGGGGGGACCAUCCUCCAAGGCUAAAUACUCCUGACUGACCGAUAGUGAACCAGUACCGUGAGGGAAAGGCGAAAAGAACCCCGGCGAGGGGAGUGAAAAAGAACCUGAAACCGUGUACGUACAAGCAGUGGGAGCACGCUUAGGCGUGUGACUGCGUACCUUUUGUAUAAUGGGUCAGCGACUUAUAUUCUGUAGCAAGGUUAACCGAAUAGGGGAGCCGAAGGGAAACCGAGUCUUAACUGGGCGUUAAGUUGCAGGGUAUAGACCCGAAACCCGGUGAUCUAGCCAUGGGCAGGUUGAAGGUUGGGUAACACUAACUGGAGGACCGAACCGACUAAUGUUGAAAAAUUAGCGGAUGACUUGUGGCUGGGGGUGAAAGGCCAAUCAAACCGGGAGAUAGCUGGUUCUCCCCGAAAGCUAUUUAGGUAGCGCCUCGUGAAUUCAUCUCCGGGGGUAGAGCACUGUUUCGGCAAGGGGGUCAUCCCGACUUACCAACCCGAUGCAAACUGCGAAUACCGGAGAAUGUUAUCACGGGAGACACACGGCGGGUGCUAACGUCCGUCGUGAAGAGGGAAACAACCCAGACCGCCAGCUAAGGUCCCAAAGUCAUGGUUAAGUGGGAAACGAUGUGGGAAGGCCCAGACAGCCAGGAUGUUGGCUUAGAAGCAGCCAUCAUUUAAAGAAAGCGUAAUAGCUCACUGGUCGAGUCGGCCUGCGCGGAAGAUGUAACGGGGCUAAACCAUGCACCGAAGCUGCGGCAGCGACGCUGAUGCGUUGUUGGGUAGGGGAGCGUUCUGUAAGCCUGCGAAGGUGUGCUGUGAGGCAUGCUGGAGGUAUCAGAAGUGCGAAUGCUGACAUAAGUAACGAUAAAGCGGGUGAAAAGCCCGCUCGCCGGAAGACCAAGGGUUCCUGUCCAACGUUAAUCGGGGCAGGGUGAGUCGACCCCUAAGGCGAGGCCGAAAGGCGUAGUCGAUGGGAAACAGGUUAAUAUUCCUGUACUUGGUGUUACUGCGAAGGGGGGACGGAGAAGGCUAUGUUGGCCGGGCGACGGUUGUCCCGGUUUAAGCGUGUAGGCUGGUUUUCCAGGCAAAUCCGGAAAAUCAAGGCUGAGGCGUGAUGACGAGGCACUACGGUGCUGAAGCAACAAAUGCCCUGCUUCCAGGAAAAGCCUCUAAGCAUCAGGUAACAUCAAAUCGUACCCCAAACCGACACAGGUGGUCAGGUAGAGAAUACCAAGGCGCUUGAGAGAACUCGGGUGAAGGAACUAGGCAAAAUGGUGCCGUAACUUCGGGAGAAGGCACGCUGAUAUGUAGGUGAAGUCCCUCGCGGAUGGAGCUGAAAUCAGUCGAAGAUACCAGCUGGCUGCAACUGUUUAUUAAAAACACAGCACUGUGCAAACACGAAAGUGGACGUAUACGGUGUGACGCCUGCCCGGUGCCGGAAGGUUAAUUGAUGGGGUCAGCGCAAGCGAAGCUCUUGAUCGAAGCCCCGGUAAACGGCGGCCGUAACUAUAACGGUCCUAAGGUAGCGAAAUUCCUUGUCGGGUAAGUUCCGACCUGCACGAAUGGCGUAAUGAUGGCCAGGCUGUCUCCACCCGAGACUCAGUGAAAUUGAACUCGCUGUGAAGAUGCAGUGUACCCGCGGCAAGACGGAAAGACCCCGUGAACCUUUACUAUAGCUUGACACUGAACAUUGAGCCUUGAUGUGUAGGAUAGGUGGGAGGCUUUGAAGUGUGGACGCCAGUCUGCAUGGAGCCGGCCUUGAAAUACCACCCUUUAAUGUUUGAUGUUCUAACGUGGACCCGUAAUCCGGGUUGCGGACAGUGUCUGGUGGGUAGUUUGACUGGGGCGGUCUCCUCCUAAAGAGUAACGGAGGAGCACGAAGGUUGGCUAAUCCUGGUCGGACAUCAGGAGGUUAGUGCAAUGGCAUAAGCCAGCUUGACUGCGAGCGUGACGGCGCGAGCAGGUGCGAAAGCAGGUCAUAGUGAUCCGGUGGUUCUGAAUGGAAGGGCCAUCGCUCAACGGAUAAAAGGUACUCCGGGGAUAACAGGCUGAUACCGCCCAAGAGUUCAUAUCGACGGCGGUGUUUGGCACCUCGAUGUCGGCUCAUCACAUCCUGGGGCUGAAGUAGGUCCCAAGGGUAUGGCUGUUCGCCAUUUAAAGUGGUACGCGAGCUGGGUUUAGAACGUCGUGAGACAGUUCGGUCCCUAUCUGCCGUGGGCGCUGGAGAACUGAGGGGGGCUGCUCCUAGUACGAGAGGACCGGAGUGGACGCAUCACUGGUGUUCGGGUUGUCAUGCCAAUGGCACUGCCCGGUAGCUAAAUGCGGAAGAGAUAAGUGCUGAAAGCAUCUAAGCACGAAACUUGCCCCGAGAUGAGUUCUCCCUGACUCCUUGAGAGUCCUGAAGGAACGUUGAAGACGACGACGUUGAUAGGCCGGGUGUGUAAGCGCAGCGAUGCGUUGAGCUAACCGGUACUAAUGAACCGUGAGGCUUAACCUUACAACGCCGAAG
This 2925-nucleotide ribosomal RNA is filed under the name Escherichia coli. RNAcentral's name for it is "bacterial LSU rRNA". It matches the Rfam family "Bacterial large subunit ribosomal RNA". The record is from RNAcentral. Lineage: Bacteria; Pseudomonadati; Pseudomonadota; Gammaproteobacteria; Enterobacterales; Enterobacteriaceae.